RNAcentral lists this unclassified non-coding RNA (481 nucleotides) under Fusarium solani. Its description in RNAcentral is "sequence contains ITS2, 28S rRNA gene". It matches the Rfam family "Eukaryotic large subunit ribosomal RNA", at positions 66 to 558 of the family's 3401-position model. The record is from RNAcentral. Lineage: Eukaryota; Fungi; Ascomycota; Sordariomycetes; Hypocreales; Nectriaceae.
CAACAGGGAUUGCCCCAGUAACGGCGAGUGAAGCGGCAACAGCUCAAAUUUGAAAUCUGGCUCUCGGGCCCGAGUUGUAAUUUGUAGAGGAUGCUUUUGGUGAGGUGCCUUCCGAGUUCCCUGGAACGGGACGCCACAGAGGGUGAGAGCCCCGUCUGGUUGGACACCGAGCCUCUGUAAAGCUCCUUCGACGAGUCGAGUAGUUUGGGAAUGCUGCUCUAAAUGGGAGGUAUAUGUCUUCUAAAGCUAAAUACCGGCCAGAGACCGAUAGCGCACAAGUAGAGUGAUCGAAAGAUGAAAAGAACUUUGAAAAGAGAGUUAAACAGUACGUGAAAUUGUUGAAAGGGAAGCGCUUGUGACCAGACUUGGGCUUGGUUGAUCAUCCGGGGUUCUCCCCGGUGCACUCUUCCGGCUCAGGCCAGCAUCAGUUCGCCCUGGGGGAUAAAGGCAGCGGGAAUGUGGCUCUCUCCGGGGAGUGUUA